RNAcentral lists this ribosomal RNA (493 nucleotides) under uncultured bacterium. RNAcentral describes it as "partial 16S ribosomal RNA". It matches the Rfam family "Bacterial small subunit ribosomal RNA", at positions 28 to 507 of the family's 1533-position model. The record is from RNAcentral.
GACGAACGCUGGCGGCGUGCUUAACACAUGCAAGUCGAACGGUGAAGCGCCUUCCUUUUUGGUGGGUGUGGAUGAGUGGCGAACGGGUGAGUAACACGUGAGUAACCUGCCCCCUUCUUCUGGAUAACCGCAUGAAAGUGUGGCUAAUACGGGAUAUUCUGGGUCUGUCGCAUGAUGGGUCUGGGAAAGAUAUUGUUUCGGUGGGGGAUGGGCUCGCGGCCUAUCAGCUUGUUGGUGGGGUGAUGGCCUACCAAGGCGGUGACGGGUAGCCGGCCUGAGAGGGUGGACGGUCACACUGGACUGAGACACGGCCCAGACUCCUACGGGAGGCAGCAGUGGGGAAUAGUGCACAAUGGGCGCAAGCCUGAUGCAGCGACGCCGCGUGAGGGAUGGAGGCCUUCGGGUUGUGAACCUCUUUCGCCAGUGAAGCAGGCCUGCCUCGUUUGUGGGUGGGUUGACGGUAGCUGGAUAAGAAGCGCCGGCUAACUACGUG